CCUACGGGGGCUGCAGUGGGGAAUAUUGGACAAUGGGCGAAAGCCUGAUCCAGCCAUGCCGCGUGUGUGAAGAAGGCCUUCGGGUUGUAAAGCACUUUCAGUGGGGAAGAAAGCCUUGGGGCUAAUACCCUCGAGGAAGGACAUCACCCACAGAAGAAGCACCGGCUAACUCCGUGCCAGCAGCCGCGGUAAUACGGAGGGUGCGAGCGUUAAUCGGAAUUACUGGGCGUAAAGCGCGCGUAGGCGGUCUGAUAAGCCGGUUGUGAAAGCCCCGGGCUCAACCUGGGAACGGCAUCCGGAACUGUCAGGCUAGAGUGCAGGAGAGGAAGGUAGAAUUCCCGGUGUAGCGGUGAAAUGCGUAGAGAUCGGGAGGAAUACCAGUGGCGAAGGCGGCCUUCUGGACUGAAACUGACGCUGAGGUGCGAAAGCGUGGGUAGCAAACAGGAUUAGAUACCCCGGUAGUC
RNAcentral lists this ribosomal RNA (464 nucleotides) under Vreelandella stevensii. RNAcentral describes it as "partial 16S ribosomal RNA". It matches the Rfam family "Bacterial small subunit ribosomal RNA", at positions 338 to 795 of the family's 1533-position model. Lineage: Bacteria; Pseudomonadati; Pseudomonadota; Gammaproteobacteria; Oceanospirillales; Halomonadaceae. The record is from RNAcentral.